CGUUCGAGCGUGUGUUCGUCGUCGUAGCAUCGCGAGGGGGGCCGGGCGAGGGUCCGAUUCUGCCGUUUUUGUUGUCGCGCCGGAUUGUGAUUAGCGUUUGAGGUGGGUUACAUCGGCUUUACUCCUAAGUUCUUAUUGGUCGACAUGUAUAGAUCUUGAUUUCGGUCAUUAAUUUAGCUCAAAUUCAUGGACUAUAUGUAGAUUGUGAAAUCUGAAUUUUGGAGCAUAUUUUAUAAAUUAAGUAGAUCAUACAUGUUGGACUUGGAAAUUGAAUUAGGAGAAAACCUACGAUUUGGACCUGUCACCAGUUUUAACUACCUGAUUUAGCUCUAGGAGCCGUUAGAAAAUUGUACUGUCGCAGUUCUUCGAGACGAGUACUCCAGGUAGUUUAGAAUGUAUUUACACUCGUGCUCGUUCGCCGAGUGGAUUUUUACAGGGUCGUUCAGGUUGUUUCGGACUGUUGGGUGCCGUCAGAGUUGACGGUGGACCCGUAUCGCCUUUUUGGGCGUCAGAUUGUGCCGAGGGCACGUUACCUAUUGGUUGUUAGACCAGUUUGAGUCGAUUACUUGACUUUGGCUAGUUGGAGCCUGUUUGAGCUCGACAGAGAUACGCUGCAUACUCGGUUGGGUAGCGCCCACGAGUGCCACUCCGGAGUCAGGCUUGUGCUUUCGCGUUGGUGUCGCUCAUGCCAGUUGGACUUGCUCUCCACGGACCAGUUGGUGUGGAGGUAGCUGGAUAGUCGCAACGGGGCAGGGACGGGUGUGUUCACACUCCCAGGGACGGGUAUGCUUAUAGUCCCGAUUGGAUUGGGUCAGAUUGACAUUUCCUACAGUUGGUUAGUGUAGAGCAUGAUAGUGUAGUAAUUGAUAGCGGUAGAGCGUACUUCCUGCUUUUCCUACUAUUCUUGCUCCCUUCUGUAGACUUAGUGGGUGACCGAUGUUGUUUUGGGCGGUACCCACUGAGGACUACUUGUUUUUACAGUAGUUCUCACGCCCAGUUGUUACUCUUGUUUUGCAGAGCCAUAGGUUUCGGCUGCUGCGCCUUCCGCGGAUCAGGAUCGAGGCAAGGGCGUCGCGAGUUAGAGCCCUACCUGACGAGCAGAGUUAGAGGCACCCCUACUGCAGGUAGAUGUUUUGUUUCGAGUUUAUGUACAUAGUUUACCUAACUCGCCAGUGCGAGUAACUCUGUAUUUUGGAUUUGAGCUAUGUAUAUGAAACUCAAUUUGUUUAGCUUUUGUUUUCUCUAGCAGCUCUAUACUACUGUUUGUAGUAUUGUAUGUUUACAGGUACAGCUGUCGCUUCGUAUACAGGGAAAAUUCCUUUGUAUACGGCGGAUUUGUCGGCGUGCCCGGGGAACGUGUAAUCCGGGGCGUGACAGAUUAAGUUGGUAUCAGAGCUUUGCUAUAGGUCAUUGGGACCUAGGAAACCUAAGUUGGCAAACCUUAGGAAGCAAGACGCGAGAGGCGUGAUUUAAUUGCGGAAGUCGAUGAUUAUUUGUUCUAACUCCUCCUAAAGCGGAGUGAGUGACUGAAGGAGUUCCUGUUUUGGCCUGAGAAAUUAUGUUGGCUGCAGACGACAUAAUUUUGGAGGAAAACAGGGACCGCCUUCCAGACUUUCGUUGAUUGGGUCGAGAGUGUUGUAUUGUAUCUGACCCCGACUUGUUCUUUGCAGCUAUGUAUCGUCGCCGAGGUCGACCUUCGUUACGGGAGCGCGCCGAGUUGGCGCGAGAUCGUGCUGGACCUUCUGAGAGACCCGAGCAGAUGGAGCAGAGUGCUCGGCAGGAGCAGAGUGACAGACCGGAGGCGAGUGCACCCCCUGUUGUAGGGCCGAGUGCGCAACCUGAGGCUGGCGCACCCCCUGACCUAAGUGCACAGUUGGUUGCCCUGACUGAGGUGACGAGGCAGCAGGGGGAGUUGUUGCAGAGGUUGUGUGAGAGAAUAGCUCAGUCACCGAGUUCAGCACCGAGUAUACCAGAGCAUACUGUUCCCCCACCGACUACUCCAGUGUCAGCUCCAGCCGCAGCUAUGCCCCCACCAGUGGAGCUUCCUACAGCGCCAGUUGCGCCUGCUAGGGGACCCGUACAGUUGACAGAGGCCGAGCAGGAGCGAUGGACGGAGAGGUUGGCUCGUUUCCGCUGAUUUGAUCCACCUACUUUCGAUGGCAGCGGCACUGAGGCCUGGGUUGUUGAGGGAUGGGUCAGUGCUAUGGAGAGGUUAUUCGAGGAUCUGUACGUUCCAGAGGGGGAGCAGGUACCUUUGGGAGUACAUUGUUUGUCAGGUGAUGCACGUGAUUGGUGGCGGAGAGCGAGGCGAGACCAGGGACUAGUGGCGGCACAGCUGAGGUCGGAUGAGUUCUGUGGAAUGCUGUAUGGGAUGUAUUUUCCCAACAGCAUGAAACAGAAGAUUGAGGAGGAUUUAAAGAGGAUCCAGCAGGGCGAGCGGACAGUUCAGGAGUAUGUUCGGGAGUUUACUAGACUCUUGAACUGUGUUCCGUUCGUGGCCAGAGACGAGGCACAUAGGGUCUACUUGUUUGAGCAGGGUUUGACACCCGACCUAUUCAGGUUUGUUAGGGCGCAGAGGUCGAGGACUUUGGACGCGUCCAUUGAGCAGGCACUAUGGGAGGAGAGAGGAGAGGUGUCACUGCGAGAGAGGGCUCAGGGGCCGGGACAGAGUCAGGACAGGAAGCGCCCAGCUCCAAACGACGGAGGACAGUCGAGUAGCAGGCGUCCGCCGAGACCUCCACGAUCGCGUUCUCAGGGUCGUGGGUUCUCGGGACGUCAGCGAUCCAGAGACUUCCGUCAGCGAGGACAGCCAGAGAGGACGCCGCAGUGUGUGAUCUGCGGAGGACCACACUGGCCCAGACAGUGUGAGCAGAGGGAGGGCCGGUGCUACGGAUGUGGUCAGCCGGGACACAUGAGGGCAGCUUGUCCCAGAGCAGCAUCUCCAGCACCAUCAUCUGCUUCAGCUCCACCAGCACCUCAGCAGACUUAUAGAGCAGCACCGAGUUACCGCCAGGAUGAUAGAUCGUCCAUGCCGCGACAGAGUGAGCGUCGACAGCAGGCUCCGAGUGGUAGAGUCUAUGCAGCUCAGGUGGAGGACUCUACAGCAGCCGACCGAGUGGUGGCAGGUAUCACUUUGAUUUCUGGCAUUAGAGUUCACACUCUUUUUGAUACUGGUGCAACGCAUUCCUUUGUUAGCCGAGCAUUUGCAUUGUUGCAUGGUCUAGAGUUAGGGGCAUUGUCACAGGCACGAGAGGUGCAGAUCCCGGACCAUGUUUUACAGGUUGCGGAGUGUUGUUGGUCGUGUCCGGUGCAGUUGGACUCGUGGGUCAUGCCCGCAGACCUGUUGGUGUUAGGGCAGCUGCAGGACUUCGACGUCGUGCUCGGUAUGGAUUGGCUUGCGCGGUACUAUGCUACGAUCGACUGUGGAGCGAGGACGGUGACGUUCCGCGAGCCAGGUCAGGAAGAGUUCACAUUCAGAGGCUGCAGGAGUACGCUAUUUGCCACCUGGAUAUCUUCGGCGAGGGCUCGACAGAUGCUGAGUAGCGGGUGUAUCGCUUUCCUAGCGACUGUUGUGGAGGUACCUACGGCGGCGCCGGGACUUGAGGACAUCCCAGUAGUCCGCGAGUUUCCGGAUGUAUUUCCCCCUGAGUUGACGACGUUGCCGCCGGAGAGGGAGAUUGAGUUUGUGAUUGAUGUGGUUCCUGGAACUGCACCAAUCUCAAAGGUACCUUAUCGGAUGGCGCCGGCAGAGCUGAGAGAGCUAAAGGCACAGCUUCAGGAUUUGAUGGAUAAAGGGUUUGUGAGACCCAGUGUGUCGCCUUGGGGAGCGCCAGUGCUAUUUGUAAAGAAGAAGGAUGGUUCACUCAGGUUAUGUGUGGAUUACCGGGAGCUGAAUAAAGUGACCAUCAAGAAUAAGUAUCCACUGCCGCGCAUUGAUGAUUUAUUUGAUCAGUUGCAGGGAUCCUUCGUCUUCUCGAAGAUUGAUCUCUAGUCAGGUUACCACCAGCUGAGGGUGAGGGCCGAGGAUGUUCCCAAGACGGCUUUUCGGACUUGGUACGGGCAUUAUGAGUUUACAGUAAUGCCUUUUGGAUUGACAAAUACCCCUGCCGCAUUCAUGGAUUUGAGGAACAGAGUGUUCAAGCCGUUCUUGGAUAGAUUUGUGGUAGUCUUCAUCGACGACAUCCUGAUAUACUCCCGGAGUGAUGCUGAGCAUGAGGAGCACUUGAGGAUUGUGCUACAGCUUCUGCGAAAGAAGAAGCUGUAUGCCAAGUUGAAGAAGUGCGAGUUCUGGCUUCGGGAGGUUGCUUUCUUGGGCCACGUGAUUUCAGCCGAGGGCGUAGCAGUGGACCCGAAGAAGAUUGAGGCGAUUCGAGAUUGGCCUAGACCGACGACGGUGACUGAGGUACGGAGCUUCCUGGGACUGGCAGGAUAUUACCGUCGGUUUGUGGAAGGCUUUGCGAAACUUUCCACACCCCUCACACGCUUGACGCGAAAGGGGAUUCGUUUUGUUUGGAGCGAUGACUGUCAGAGGAGCUUUGACGAGUUGAGACUGAGGUUGACAUCAGCUCCUAUCCUUGCCCUUCCGGUGAUGGGGGAUGGAUUUGUGAUCUACAGUGAUGCAUCGCACAGUGGACUUGGUUGCGUGCUGAUGCAGCAUGGUAGGGUGAUUGUUUAUGCUUCACGGCAAUUAAAGGAUUUUGAGAAGAAUUACCCUACGCAUGACUUGGAGCUUGCCGCGGUGGUUUUUGCUUUGAAGCUCUGGCGGCAUUACCUGUACGGCGAGCACUGCGAGGUUUUCACCGAUCAUCAAAGUCUCAAGUAUCUGUUCACACAGAAGGAGCUGAAUCUGAGGCAGCGCCGGUGGUUGGAGUUACUGAAGGACUAUGACAUUAGUAUUCAGUAUCAUCCCGGCAGGGCGAAUGUGGUGGCAGAUGCGUUGAGCAGGAAGUCAGUGCAGAGCCUGAGUUUGAGGAUUACUGAGGAGAGACCCCUACUCGAGGAGUUACAGCGGCUGGGACUCGAGAUAGUACCCCCUGGGUUUACGGCGAGGCUGACGUCUCUAGUAUUACAGCCCACUCUGUUGGAUAGAAUCCGAGAGAAACAAAGUGGAGAUCCGUACUUGUUGAGGAUUAGAGAGCAGUUAGACAGGGGGCAGGCUGAGGGAUUUGCUUUGGACAGUUCGGGAGUACUACGGUACAGGGACCGACUGUGUGUGCCUGUGGAUCCGGAGAUUCGAGCGGAUAUUCUGAGAGAGGCUCAUUGUUCCCCUUAUACGGUUCACCCUGGGGGAACCAAGAUGUAUAAGGAUCUUAAGGCACAGUUUUGGUGGCCUGGAAUGAAGAGGGACAUUGGCAGAUUUGUGGCUCAGUGUUUGACUUGCCAACAGGUGAAGGCCGAGCAUCAGGUGCCUGCUGGCAAGCUUCAGAGUCUGCCAGUUCCCGAGUGGAAGUGGGAGCACACCACGAUGGACUUCGUCGUUGGAUUGCCUAGAGCGCAGGGUGGCUACGACGCGAUUUGGGUGAUAGUGGACAGACUGACCAAGUCUGCUCACUUCCUACCGGUUCAGACUACCUGGUCCAGGGAGAGACUCGCGCAGCUAUACUUGGAUGAGAUCGUUAGGCUGCACGGCGUGCUAGUGUCGAUUGUAUCAGAUAGAGACCCGAGGUUCGUAUCCCAGUUUUGGAGGAGCCUUCAGACAGCCUUGGGUACACAGCUACAUUUCAGCACAACAUUCCACCCACAGACAGAUGGUCAGUCAGAGCGGACCAUUCAGACUCUAGAGGACAUGCUGAGGGCAUGUGUCCUGGACUUUGGAGGAGGGUGGUAUCGACAUUUGAGACUUGUUGAGUUUGCGUACAACAACAGCUAUCAAGCGAGCAUUCAAAUGGCUCCGUUUGAGGCGUUGUAUGGACGCAAAUGUCGAUCCCCCCUAUUUUGGAGUGAUGUGGGUGAGCGGAGGACAUUUGGACCAGAGAUUCUACUUGAGGCUGAAGAAAAGGUGAGAGUCGUUCGACGACACCUUUUGACAGCACAGAGCCGACAGAGGAGCUACGCCGAUACCAGGAGACGAGACUUGGAGUUUCAGGUUGGAGAUCAUAUUUUUCUCAAAGUCUCGCCGUCUAGAGGGAUACGUCAUUUUGGAGUACGUGGAAAGCUUAGUCCACGGUUUGUUGGCCCUUUCGAGGUAUUGGAGAAUAUCGGACCGGUGGCUUACAGGAUAGCUCUAUCCCCGCGACUAGCUGGCAUUCAUGAUGUAUUCCACGUCUCGGCGCUAAGAAAGUAUGUUUUCGAUCCGUCUCAUGUGAUUGACUUCACCCCACUAGAGAUUGGUGAGGACUUGAGGUACGAGGAGCGACCGGUGCGAAUUCUUGCUCGUGAGACGAAAGAAUUGCACAACCGGAUCAUUCCGUACGUGAAAGUGCAGUGGAGCAAUCACGAGGAGCGGGAGGCGACUUGGGAGCCUGAGAAGGUGAUGAGGGAGUCUUACCGCGACCUGUUCGUUGCCCCGUGUUGAGGUAUGUGUUAAGUUUCGAGGACGAAACUUUUUUGUAGUAGGGGAGGAUGUAGUAUCCUUAAUUUUGUUUUUAUUUGAGUUGGUAGACUAGUAGUGGAUAAGGAUGCCACGUGUAACUCUAACCUCAUGCAUCCUUAUCAAUUGAGUUUUAACUGAGGUGUAUAGUUUUUUUAUUUUCAUUUUUACUUCUUCUCUCUUUCUCCAUUCGGCCGAAGUAAGGAGGAGUUCGGGUUGUGCCGCGGAGCUCGAUUUCGACGCCGACGAUGCGCCGCGAAGCCGUUCGAAGGUACGGUUGGGCUCGUAGUGUUGUGAGGAGGCUUGGCAAGGGUCUAUUUCCGCCAUUCUCGACGUCGCGCCGGAUUGGAUUUAGCUUUCGAGGUGGGUUACAUCGGCUUUACUCCUAAGUUAUUAUUGGUCGACAUGUAUAGAUCUUGAUUUCGGUCAUUAAUUUAGCUCAAAUUCAUGGACUAUAUGUAGAUUGUGAAAUCUGAAUUUUGGAGCAUAUUUUAUAAAUUAAGUAGAUCAUACAUAUUGGACUUGGAAAUUGAAUUAGGAGAAAACCUACGAUUUGGACCUGUCACCAGUUUUAACUACCUGAUUUAGCUCUAGGAGCCGUUAGAAAAUUGUACUGUCGCAGUUAUUCGAGACGAGUACUCCAGGUAGUUUAGAAUGUAUUUACACUCGUGCUCGUUCGCCGAGUGGAUUUUUACAGGGUCGUUCAGGUUGUUUCGGACUGUUGGGUGCCGUCAGAGUUGACGGUGGACCCGUAUCGCCUUUUUGGGCGUCAGAUUGUGCCGAGGGCACUUACCUGUUGGUUGUUAGACCAUUUUGAGUCGAUUACUUGACUUUGGCUAGUUGGAGCCUGUUUGAGCUCGACAGAGAUACGCUGCAUACUCGGUUGGGUAGCGCCCACGAGUGCCACUCCGGAGUCAGGCUUGUGCUUUCGCGUUGGUGUCGCUCAUGCCAGUUGGACUUGCUCUCCACGGACCAGUUGGUGUGGAGGUAGCUGGAUAGUCGCAACGGGGCAGGGACGGGUGUGUUCACAGUCCCAGGGACGGGUAUGUUUAUAGUCCCGAUUGGAUUGGGUCAGAUUGACAUUUUCUACAGUUGGUUAGUGUAGAGCAUGAUAGUGUAGUGAUUGAUAGCGGUAGAGCGUACUUCCUGCUUUUCCUACUAUUCUUGCUCCCUUCUGUAGACUUAGUGGGUGACCGAUGUUGUUUUGGGCGGUACCCACUGAGGACUACUUGUUUUUACAGUAGUUCUCACGCCCAGUUGUUACUCUUGUUUUGCAGAGCCACAGGUUUCGGCUGCUGCGCCUUCUGCGGAUCAGGAUCGAGGCAAGAGCGUCGCGAGUUAGAGCCCUAC
Molecule: long non-coding RNA, 7879 nt
Filed under: Ananas comosus (pineapple)
Lineage: Eukaryota; Viridiplantae; Streptophyta; Magnoliopsida; Poales; Bromeliaceae
Description: long non-coding RNA (ACOM_LNC037915)
Source: RNAcentral